UAUAUCCCUCACUAGCCCCUACCUCGUCUCCCGUCUCCAGGGGCAGCCGUCUGCAUCUCGUUCCCCUCUCCCUCCGACAUGGCCGCCCCCAUCCACCGCCCACCCCCGCCGCCGCUGCCCUCACCCUCUCCCUGCCCAGGCCCCACAUCAAGCAGCGGCCAUGGCGUUCCCGGCCGCCGUGGUGCGUGAUUCCCACCUCUACCUCUGCCUCGCCGUGGAUGGGAAGAUCGGAAUCCUCCAUGGACGGACGCACUGAUGGGGGUCUCGUCUGACGACGGAGGCGGACCACCAGGAGGAGUUGCCGUGAGACGACACCGACGGUCGGCUCCUUCUCCACAACAACACAACACCGACCGUGGGGACUCCCGUUCUUCCACCCUGAUGGCCUCUCCUCCGGCGCCCCUGUUCUUCUUCCACUCCAGCACGAUGGUGCACGACAGAGCCGGCUGCGUGUGGUGCGUGCGGGGGGAUUCUUCUUCCACUCUGGCAAUCUGAGAGCAGCCAAGCAAGGUUAUUGAGAUAUGUAUCUUGCGAUUCUUUGUGUGCCGGUUACAUCUGCGGGUACGGCUGCACGAGUUCAUGUCUGUCAUUCACACAUGCAAAUUGUGAUGCCUGCUGCUUGCGACAGUUUCGCCCCUGUUCUUCUUCUACUCCGGCAAGAUGGUAAGCCACCGGUUCCCUCCUCUGCCUUGCUCUGCUCUACUAUACUUGCAAUGCCUUUUCUUGUUUCUAUCACCUAAAAAAGGCAUCAGAGAAACAUGUUUCAGUUUUAUAGGCCCUCAAGUGCUAAAUUAGCUCUGAUCUUGUCCAUAUCAGUGAUUCCUACAAGAUUCUUGUAUGUGCCAUAUUUUGUAAAAAACUCUUCUUCACGGAUCAGAUUGUUUGCAGCUAUUUACUUGACGAUAGAAUGAUGAGAUUCGCAUCAAAGUGUUUGCAACUUUUGAUGUGUCAAGGGUUCUUGACACAUCAAGGCCUCUGCUGUACAUAUGUCAAGGAUGAGAUUCACAUGAUGAUUUGUUUUUCCUUAUGCUGUAUAUAACUGUUUUUUUGCGUGUGUUAUGAUUUAGUCAGUAGCCAAUUAAUGUUAGUGAUAUAUGUAUCUUGUGAUUCUUCGUGUGGCGAUCAUGGUUCGUUGAUGCGGUUUCGAUUUGUGAUUCCCUGGCGAGGUUUCCUCACACACGCAGGUCCACGACAGAGCCGGCUACAUGUUGUGUGUGUGCGCGGGGGGGGGGGGGGGGGUCUCCUUCCACUCCGGUAAUCUGGAUUCAAACUUGGUUCUGAAAAGCACACCACAGAGGUCACCGUGAAGAAGUCUGGAAGCCUGCUUAUAAAUUCUGGGAUACAAGGAUACUCCCUGCUAAAGACAACUCAGUCUGGAUUUGAAGGAUUCAUGAGGGAUCGCUACACUCUUCUUCCUGAAACAAGAGAAAGAAUUGUAGCUACAGAAGUAACUGCUUGGUGGAGAUGAGAGGCUGGAAUGUUCCAUCCAAAUAGUUUAAUCAGAAACUGCACUGGCAAAGGUCUAGAGGAUGUAGAGGAGCUCCAGUUUGAUCCUAAGGAUGGCAUUGCUUUUUUUCUUCUUAUGCUCCAGUUUGCAGCAGCAUCUCCGACACCCUCUCGACGAAUUGCAGGUAGAUUGUAGCUGAGGAUGCGGCGAUGACCACCGAGGACCGGAGUGCAUGCUCGGUGGCAGAAGCAUCAGGGUGCUCCACGCUCAACAUCUUCUCAGCAUAGCUGCUCGAUCAGUAGUUUUGAUUGAUCUAUUUGAUAAUUUAAGCCAUCCAGUUGAUGUUCUUGGUUCGCUCAUGCUCUUUUCUUAUGUUGUUGUUUAAUCACUAUUGGCUUGGAUAUUCUCUAUAGCAUCUCAACAAUUCACUGCAACUGGCCAGGUUAUUCUGUAUAUUUGAUACUGUACGAGAGUAGCAGUCGGACUCAAAAAAUCACAACAUUCUGCAGGUACAGCAACCACUUGACGCCGAUCCUUGAUCUCAUGUUAUAUGAGUAGGUUAUAAAUUUUUAGUAACUAAAUUCACAUUAGUUUUUGAAGCACAAAUUGAUGUCUGUAAGUUAUUUAGGAUAACAUUUUGCUCCAUUUGGUAGAUAUAUAACAAGACAAUAUAGAGGGAUGUAGAGAGCUAUUUUUUUGUUAAAAUAAACAGUGGAAACGGUUGGCUUUAAUCAGAUAUGUUUGCUGAAAUCCAUUUGGAUAUUUUUUUCUCUUUUCUUAGCUUGGUCGCACAUGGAUCAGCUUAGUGUGUCUACCUUUUUCACUAAAGUGUGGAUAUUUAUGUAUAGAGUAAAACGUGUCCAUGCUAUUUAUUUUCCAUAGUCAUUGUUGCCUAUACCAUAUUUAAAUUGUUGUCUUUAUUGUCCUUAUCUGAUGAUAGCCCAUUGGGAAAUGAAAGAAAGUGGGUUAAAUACUUUGUUUCUUUAUUUUAGGUCCAAAUUUACAUUGAUCGUUUAGUGGUUCAUCGAAAUUCUUCUGCCUAUGACUUUGAAAUUGGCCAGUAAAAGCCAACAUCCACCCUCUUCACAAGCCGCAGUCAGGGAUUCGUUCAUUUUAGUGUGAGUAAGGAUGGGAACAUUGAUCUAUAUAUGUACUUCUGGAUGACAAAGACUUUGAGUUCUGUGUGAAGCUCCAAAAGGAAUACCUAUAAGACUCCUUCAUCAACUUAGUAAGAUUGCAUAUGCCCUUUGCGUUGCACAGGUCCAACGCCUCGCUCCUCUACUCAUAGUGAAAAAAAACUUAGGUACUCUGAAAUUUAUCUUUUCUUCCCCUCAUGCUUUGUUAGGUUAGAUCAAUAGUUUUAUCUUAUUGGACCUGUGCAUUUUGAGAGUCCUAAAUGGGAACAUUAAAUUUACUUGGACCCUAUCUUAUUCUCAUAUCUGUAACUAGCUUUGCUUGUCAUUUAGAAGGGACGACCUAAGGAGUAGAGAGAUUCGAGACAAUCAAAAUCCUGCAUAUGUAUGUUUACAUGCGUUUGAUAAUCCUAUGCCAGGGCCACAUAUAUA
Triticum aestivum (bread wheat) is the source of this 3012-nucleotide long non-coding RNA. RefSeq lists it as uncharacterized. The transcript is spliced from 9 exons. Lineage: Eukaryota; Viridiplantae; Streptophyta; Magnoliopsida; Poales; Poaceae. The record is from RefSeq and is a predicted model, not a curated record.